This is a long non-coding RNA of Strigops habroptila (Kakapo), 436 nucleotides long. RefSeq lists it as uncharacterized. The transcript is spliced from 2 exons. Lineage: Eukaryota; Metazoa; Chordata; Aves; Psittaciformes; Psittacidae. The record is from RefSeq and is a predicted model, not a curated record.
UUCCCAUCUGUUUUUAUCAGAGGUCUCUGUGUUCAACUUGAAUCCUUCCUCAUUACCCUUGUAAAUCCUACAACUCCCUUGUAGGACUGUGGAGUUCAUGCUUUUCUUACUGGAGGAGAAAUGGGGUUUCAUCCACAUAUCCAUUUCCUAAAACCAGAAGGACUCCUCUGCAUCUUUUGCGCCAUGUCUCUGUACAGUCUGAAGUUGACCCAGACUCAUCCCUUCUGCAGUGCUUCUCCACAUGCCUGAUUUUUAUCAUAGAUGUUAUUCAUAGAAAUGUCAUCACCAAUGCUUUAAAAGUGCAGAUGGCUGUUUAAUGCUAGCUGAGAGAGUUACCAGGCAAGCAGUGACUCUACUUCAGCCAUGGUGGUGAUGAUGUCAAACUUUCUCCAACUAAUGAGUCAUUAAAAGUAGUAAUAAAGGGGUUUGUUGGGGC